AAGUAAACCACCAUGUCUGUGGAUGAUUUUACCAAAAGUCUUAUCCUCCAGCUGAGUGCAAACAUUCUUCAUAUCAACUGUAGGCACACCCAUACAUUUUAUUCUUACAGCUUCAGAAUGUUUCCAGUUAUUAUGAAUAUCAUUCAACAUGUUAUGUGUUAAACCAUCUCGUCCCAAAUUGACUUGCCGCUUGGUUUUAUGCCUCUGACACCUUUCCACAAGAGCUUUCCUCUCCGCAUUCGUUAAAGGUUCUCCUUGAAUUCUGUCUCUCGCCACUCUUCUCUUCUCUUCCACGGUUUUCUCAUCUUCCGGUGACCCCACUUUUGGGUCAACCACAGGUGCACACACUCCAGUCCACACUCUAUCCAACUUCCCAGGCCCAAAAGGUGAGUACUUGGGCUCGCGAAGCCCAAUGGGCCGCACAUCCGGACUGCUCUCAGUGUAACUGAAGCGGAAGUCGAAGGGCAAUUUGGACUGAAGCGGUUUCUCACCAGUCCGGUCCAGUGACGACGGCGGACGGUACCGGGGUUUGGGCUGCUUCUUGGGUGGUAACUGAGUGGAACCAGGGUUUAGGGGUUUAAGGGACGGCGGAGGUACGAAGGAAUAUUUUGAAUAGAGAUUUGAAGAAGCGGCGGCGGCGGUAGAAAAGAGGUGGUGGCGCGUGGCGGAGAGUGAGAGAAUUUGGUUUUUCUGGCGGGAGAAUAACCGGAGCAUUGUGACGGGUCAGAGGAAU
RNAcentral lists this unclassified non-coding RNA (733 nucleotides) under Hevea brasiliensis (rubber tree). Lineage: Eukaryota; Viridiplantae; Streptophyta; Magnoliopsida; Malpighiales; Euphorbiaceae. The record is from RNAcentral.